UGGUUUACAGAAUUUACGUAAUACUUUAGAGGAAUAAAUCAAAGAUUUCAGUACAUAGCUGGUACAAAGUUUUCACCACAGAGUUUAUAUAUAAUUGUAGAUUAUAAGGAGGCAUUUAUAAAGAUGAGAAUGUCUGUGUUACUUAUGUAAUUUCAUAUUUAGAGCUAACAAUUUUUAGGGAAAUUAAAUAUUCUGGGACUAGACAUCAUAUAUGUGUGUAAAUCAAUUCGUUAUACAUUUACUGAGCAUCUCCUGUGUGCCAUCCACUGUGCAAAGAACUAAAGAGAUCCAGAUAAAAAUGGCAGUUUCUGUCAUCAAUGUACUAACAUUCUAAGGGAUAAAACAAACUAAAAAAAGAAAUCAUACAAUGUAAUGAGAGAAAUAACAAAAGAUGUGUACUGGGAUAUCAUAUCUAUUGCAGUAUAAAGACACGACAUAUGCAGGCCUAAAUGGAUAACUUGUGUAUAGAAAAUACAUUAUUUUGAGCUACUCUGCUCUAAACAGGCCAGCCCUGGUGUCUAGUGGUUAAGAUCUGGCACUCUCAUUGCCACAGUUUGGGUUCAUUUCUGGUCAGGGAACCACACCACCUGUCUGUCGGUUGUCACACUGUGACAGCUAUGUGUGGCUGGGAUGCUGCAAGCUAUGCCACUGGUAUUUCAAAUACCAGCAGGGUCACUCAUGGUGGACGGGUUUCAGCAGAGCUUCCAGACUAAGGCUAGGAAGAAGGACCUGGUCACUCACUUCUGAAAACAUUGGCCAUGAAACCCUGUGGACAGCAGGGGAGCAUUGUCUGAUACAGCAUGGGAAGAUGCGAGGAUGGUGCCAAAAAUAGCGGGCAGGGUUUGGCUCUGCUGACCACAAGGUCACUAAGAGUGGAAAUCAACUCUCGGGUGCGAACAAACCCUAAACGGAUACAACACAUAAACAUUUACAAGAUGCAGCCCUGGGAAAGAUUGUGUUUCUUUGUCUCUUCUCUCCAGUCUCCAUUGGUCUGUGACAAUUUCUCAGUCUUUCCUUGUUUUCCUUGACUGUGGCAGUCCUGAGGAAUGCUCCCAGCAUUCCUCUAGCCUUCUACUUCGGAGUUUUGUUUGAAGAACAUUCUUGUCAGUUGAGAUUAAGAUAACAUUUCUACGAGAACACAAAAGCUGAGAAAGAAAUCCAGUCACGCUGCCUGAGGAACCAGCUGUGCUCGUCCUUCUGUUUUCUCUUCCUUCUCCAGACAGAGUGGAGGCUGUGUCUCCAGGGAAUGAAGUGAGUCAACAGGUACAGUUACUGGGUGAGUAAGGUGUGACACAUCAUCCUCUCAAAUACGGUAAACAGGGCAAAGCGCUGGAUAGAAGGCCAGCCUUCUAUCAUUCUAGUAAACGUUCUAGAAAAACUGUUUCCAACAAAUAUUUAGGGCGUAGGAAAGGCUUCUAAUGCAUUCUUUAGUCUCUUUGUCCAUUUUCUUUUGAUUUAGUGGACAUCCAGAAAGGUAAAUCUAAUCAGAAUGUACUUUCCACCAAAAUGUCUAGAAUUUUCUUGACUCUAAAAUAACCAGAGGUCUUUGUAGAAAUAGUCAUAUGAAAUACUCAUUUCAUUCUGGAUUCCUUUGUCCACAUGCCUACUUUUUGCGGAAGUGACUUCAAGUUCAAUCUGAGAUCUGCUCAUAAAGAAAAUUCUUUCAUCUUACAAACAUUUGUGUGCGUGCAGUGUGGUAGUAAGUGUUAGGAAGAGUGGGGAACAAGGCAGAGAAAGUGGCUGCCUUCAUGGCACUUUCAUCCUAACGAUUUUCUGUCUUAAAACAUCACAGCCCAGAAUUCUGAACAAGUUGCUUCUCAAAUCCUGCUGUACUAUAGUUUUCCAGUGCCUCCCAAAUUCUCUCUCUCAGAAAGGGGUGAGACAACUUCAUAAGGAACCGCCUGGGAUGUUUAUUAAAAGUCUGGAUUCUCAGCCUGUUAAGCCCAGAGAUUCCGUUUCAGUAGGCAGGACUGACCCAGGAAUUUCUACUUUAAAAAAGUUUCAACUACUUUCGAAAAGUUUUGAAAAGUGGUCCUUUGGGGGGUGGGUAACACCCGAAAAUCAGAAAAAUUCUGUAAUAAAUCCAAGUGACUAAAUGGUUAAAAACCAUUUUUAUUGUUGAUUUGGUAAACACCUGAAGUCAUGUUUGGGAGAAAAUUAUGAAAGAGAACUUACUCCAGUGCAGCAAUGACCGUGACAAAGAGUCAGGACUAAUUCCCCCGAGUAACUUGACUGCUGAGCUUUCUUCCAACUCACGCAGUGCAAAGUUAAAAUAAAUCACACAAAGGACUAAGAAUUAUAUAAGCCUUGUGAAUAUAAAAUGAACGCAAGCCUUUAUUUCUAGUUAGACGCUGUAAUACAGCAUCUAUCCUGUCUUUAACAGUUUGCAUAGGGCUACAGAGAACAUUUUCUGUAUGAAUAGGCACUAUAAAAACAUUCUAUUGCUGUGUAAUCUCAUAAUAUAUCUGACACAUUGCCAGAGCCAAAGGCUAGGAUGCAAUCUAAGUAAGUUUGUCUCCUCCUUAGAAUAGUCCGGUCUUUCAAAGGGAUCUCUAACCAACGCCUUUGUGAUCUUAGGUAGAAAUUCGCCUUACAAACAGCCUAUUACGGCUUCAAAAAAUUUGAAUGAUAAAAUUUGAUGUUUGGCGUAUUUUCCUUUCUUGAAUUUCCAUUACUGAAAAUUAAGAUUUGAGGAUUCUUUCCAGAAACCUUUACAUUUCUAAAGACAACAAAUAAAAUGAUUACUUCUUCUUAUCCCCUUCAUGCCAACUGGCUGAAGUUUGACUUAUUUUUUUCUUCGUUUUAGAUUUGACACAGCCAUUGCCAAAUGAACAAAAUGCCUCUUAUGCUUAUUCAGAAAUACAGAAUUCUUAAAGCAAGAGCAAAAAGAACUAAAAAGUUAUUUAUGUUGGGGCAAUGAAAAUAUCCAAAUAAUGGAUGGUGGUGAUGGUUACACUACUUUGUGAAUAUCCCGAGGCACUGAGCUAACAUCUGCCUCCAAUCCUCCUCUUUUUGCUGAGGAAGAUUGGCCCUGAGCUAACAUCUGUGCCCACCUUCCUCUCUUUUAU
Equus caballus (horse) is the source of this 3068-nucleotide non-coding RNA. Lineage: Eukaryota; Metazoa; Chordata; Mammalia; Perissodactyla; Equidae. The record is from RefSeq and is a predicted model, not a curated record.